Molecule: ribosomal RNA, 468 nt
Filed under: uncultured bacterium
Lineage: Bacteria
Description: partial 16S ribosomal RNA
Rfam family: Bacterial small subunit ribosomal RNA
Source: RNAcentral
GACGAACGCUGGCGGCGUGCUUAACACAUGCAAGUCGAACGGAAAGGCCCUGCUUUUGUGGGGUGCUCGAGUGGCGAACGGGUGAGUAACACGUGAGUAACCUGCCCUUGACUUUGGGAUAACUUCAGGAAACUGGGGCUAAUACCGGAUAGGAGCUCCUGCUGCAUGGUGGGGGUUGGAAAGUUUCGGCGGUUGGGGAUGGACUCGCGGCUUAUCAGCUUGUUGGUGGGGUAGUGGCUUACCAAGGCUUUGACGGGUAGCCGGCCUGAGAGGGUGACCGGCCACAUUGGGCCUGAGAUACGGCCCAGACUCCUACGGGAGGCAGCAGUGGGGAAUAUUGCACAAUGGGCGGAAGCCUGAUGCAGCAACGCCGCGUGCGGGAUGACGGCCUUCGGGCUGUAAACCGCUUUCGCCUGUGACGAAGCGUGAGUGACGGUAAUGGGUAAAGAAGCACCGGCUAACUACGUG